This is a non-coding RNA of Vicia faba (fava bean), 306 nucleotides long. Lineage: Eukaryota; Viridiplantae; Streptophyta; Magnoliopsida; Fabales; Fabaceae. The record is from the annotation of a GenBank genome assembly.
AUGGCAAGUUUUGGAAAUCCUCAGAACAAAAGGGUAACAUCCAGCAAUCCUCGGAUGAAAAAAGUGAGUUAUGGAAAUUCUCAUAAGGAAAAGGUAACACCCGACAAUCCAAGGAUGCAAAAAGUGAGUUAUGGAAAUCUUCAAAACAAAAGGGUAACAUUUGACAAUUCUCUUAUGCAAAAAGUGCAUUCUGGAAAUCCUCAGAAUAAAAGGAUAACAUUAGGAUAUCCUCGGAUGCAAAAGGUGAGUUCUGGAAAUCCUCAAAACAAAAUGGUAAAUCUUACAAUCCUCAUAUGCAAAAAGUGA